This is a small nucleolar RNA of Caenorhabditis elegans, 191 nucleotides long. Lineage: Eukaryota; Metazoa; Nematoda; Chromadorea; Rhabditida; Rhabditidae. The record is from Ensembl.
CCCCCCCCCACACACACAUGUUUGGACACCUUUUUUCUACAGACAAAAAGACGCGGAAAACAAUAGGUUCAAAAGGUGUGUGUGUGUUCGUAUUCAUUCAUUACAAAAUGAUGAUGACCCCACACCAGAACAAGUGUGAGAGAGCUCUAAUUGCUUCCGGAACAUGAUUGGUGCCACUUCCUGUAGAGAAU